Long non-coding RNA from Belonocnema kinseyi, 270 nucleotides. RefSeq lists it as uncharacterized. The record is from RefSeq and is a predicted model, not a curated record. The transcript is spliced from 3 exons. NCBI's taxonomy places the organism in Eukaryota, Metazoa, Arthropoda, Insecta, Hymenoptera, Cynipidae.
UUCUCUGCGUCAUGACAAUAAAAAUACUUCGAUAAGGAAGUUCGCAGAGCGUGCUCAUGCAUAGUCACCAGAUGUGUCGCGAAUAUGUAAAGCGAAUGUAAAUUUAACGAGCGAAUGUACAAUUGUUCUUGCGUGUGGUGCCAAUUAAAGUGCAAUGUUUUGAUUAAAGUGUACGUAUGGCUCAUACAGUGGAUUAUUUUCUAUUUAAAAAGAGUACUUGAUCGUAUUGGAUAUUAAAAAAAUAUUGCACUACUUGCGGCGGCGUGAUUG